RNAcentral lists this ribosomal RNA (248 nucleotides) under uncultured bacterium. Its description in RNAcentral is "partial 16S ribosomal RNA". It matches the Rfam family "Bacterial small subunit ribosomal RNA", at positions 529 to 776 of the family's 1533-position model. The record is from RNAcentral.
GGGGGGCAAGCGUUGUUCGGAAUUACUGGUCGUAAAGGGCUUGUAGGUGGCCAACUAAGUCAGACGUGAAAUCCCUCAGCUUAACUGGGGAACUGCGUCUGAGACUGGUCGGCUUGAGUGCAGGAGAGGAACGCGGAAUUCCAGGUGUAGCGGUGAAAUUCGUAGAUAUCGGGAGGAACACCGGUGGCGAAGGCGGCGACCUGGGUCGAGACUGACGCUGAGGCGCGAAAGCGUGGGGAGCAAACAGG